CGUAGGGUGCUAGCGUUGUUCGGAAUCAUUGGGCGUAAAGCGCGUGUAGGCUGCUAGGUAAGUCGAUUGUGAAAUCCCUGGGCUCAACCGAGGAAGUGCAGUCGAAACUCCCUAGCUAGAAGACGGUAGAGGAAGGUGGAAUUCCAAGUGUAGAGGUGAAAUUCGUAGAUAUUUGGAGGAAUACCGGUGGCGAAGGCGGCCUUCUGGACCGCUCUUGACGCUGAGACGCGAAAGCGUGGGUAGCAAACAGGAUUAGAUACCCUGGUAGUCCACGCCGUAAACGAUGGGUACUAGGUGUUGCAGGAAUUGACCCCUGCAGUGCCGAAGCUAACGCAUUAAGUACCCCGCCUGGGAAGUACGGCCGCAAGGUUA
RNAcentral lists this ribosomal RNA (372 nucleotides) under uncultured organism. RNAcentral describes it as "bacterial SSU rRNA". It matches the Rfam family "Bacterial small subunit ribosomal RNA", at positions 526 to 896 of the family's 1533-position model. The record is from RNAcentral.